UACUGGCAAAGACAUUGAAAAGAAUCACACUGCUAAACCAGUAGCAGCUUUUAUCUUCUUCUCAGAUUGUAUACAUGCAGGAUAAAAGUGUUUCUAACACAUAGACUUCUAUAUUCCAGCAUAAAGAUGUAUUAGGCGCAUUUAUACUUUUACAUCGAAGCCUGUUUCAACAUGAACGGAGCCCAGGGAAGUUGGUGACUUAAUCCUCGUUAUACCCUGAUUUUGGACAAAUUUUACAAGAAGAAUAGGACUUCUACUUCUCUAUGUCUACAUGCACCUGGAACAGUGCUAGGUCUAUGCUUACAAAUUGAUUGGUUCAGGUCACCGCCAUGAGCCUCAGGACAGAAAAUUGCCGGAUAUGAGAGAGAGAGAGAGAUUUGACUGGGCUAAGAAAGAAAUGAACACGAUUUAGAGAUGGAAAUGGUGACAUAUGGGCCUUUGAAGCCUCCCAUGUUCCAGAGAAGCCCCUGUGAGCUGUGACUGCAAGAGUCAGCACCUAAAUUAGAUCAACACUACAACAUCAAAAAGCCAGCUUGAUGGCACAGCGGGGAGUGAGGAAGACUCGGUGGACAAAUCUGACUGGAAAACAAGUAGGCGUUGCAGAUGGUGAGUUCAGCACUGCCUCUGCUGUAGUGAGCUACGCCCAACCUAGAAAUGCAUCUUGCUGGCAAUGUCUCUCCAAGAGCCUCCCCUUUUGCUGUCAGGAGCACAAGGGGCAUGCAGAGAAGUUGAGAGCUGAGCAUUGCAUGCUACUGAGCAGCUGCACUCAGUGGUGCAGAGGAGGGACAGGAGGCACCCAUAAGGGAGGAAAUGAAUAGGGCUGUUUUACUUGCUAAAAAGACUCACCUUUUGUCUCCUCCUGAGCUGACAUCCUUUUCUUGCUACUCCACCAUUAUAUUCUCUUUAAACAGUCAUUUUUAUUACAGUUAAUAUUAGAGUUGUACUUGCAUUUAUGAGGUCUAAAGAGCUCUUGGGAAAUAAAACGGGACUAUCCAGUCUGGAAGAA
Homo sapiens (human) is the source of this 1006-nucleotide long non-coding RNA. Ensembl annotates it as long intergenic non-protein coding RNA 1911. The record is from Ensembl. NCBI's taxonomy places the organism in Eukaryota, Metazoa, Chordata, Mammalia, Primates, Hominidae.